Podarcis lilfordi (Lilford's wall lizard) is the source of this 67-nucleotide non-coding RNA. The record is from the annotation of a GenBank genome assembly. Lineage: Eukaryota; Metazoa; Chordata; Lepidosauria; Squamata; Lacertidae.
GUUUGGGAUAGCUCAGUUGAUAGAGCAUGAGACCCUUAAUCUCAUGGUUUGAGCCCCACCUUGGGCA